Molecule: ribosomal RNA, 406 nt
Filed under: uncultured bacterium
Lineage: Bacteria
Description: partial 16S ribosomal RNA
Rfam family: Bacterial small subunit ribosomal RNA
Source: RNAcentral
AUUGAACGCUGGCGGCAGGCUUAACACAUGCAAGUCGAACGAGUGGCGGACGGGUGAGUAAUGCUUGGGAAUCUGGCUUAUGGAGGGGGAUAACGACGGGAAACUGUCGCUAAUACCGCGUACCAUAGGAUGAGCCCAAGUGGGAUUAGGUAGUUGGUGGGGUAAUGGCCUACCAAGCCGACGAUCUCUAGCGGGUCUGAGAGGAUGAACGGCCACAUUGGGACUGAGACACGGCCCAGACUCCUACGGGAGGCAGCAGUAGGGAAUCUUCGGCAAUGGACGAAAGUCUGACCGAGCAACGCCGCGUGUCUGAAGAAGGCCUUCGGGUUGUAAAGGACUUUUGUCAGGGAAGCGGUACCUGAAGAAUAAGCACCGGCUAACUACGUGCCAGCAGCCGCGGUAAUAC